Molecule: long non-coding RNA, 1784 nt
Filed under: Taeniopygia guttata (zebra finch)
Lineage: Eukaryota; Metazoa; Chordata; Aves; Passeriformes; Estrildidae
Description: lncRNA (ENSTGUG00000022665.1)
Source: RNAcentral
UUAGGUGUGUGGCUCUGGAUUUAGGUGUGUUGUUCGUGGAUUUAGGUGCAUGGCUCUGGAUUUAGGUGCGUGGCUCUGGAUUUAGGUGUGUGGCUCUGGAUUUAGGUGUGUUGUUCGUGGAUUUAGGUGCAUGGCUCUGGAUUUAGGUGUGUGGCUCUGGAUUUAGGUGUGUGGCUCUGGAUUUAGGUGUGUGGCUCUGGAUUUAGGUGUGUGGCUCUGGAUUUAGGUGUGUGGCUCUGGAUUUAGGUGUGUGGCCCAUGGAUUUAGGUGUGUGGCUCUGGAUUUAGGUGUGUGGCUCUGGAUUUAGGUGUAUAGCUCUGGAUUUAGGUGUGUGGCUCACGGUUUUAGGUGUGUCUGUCAGCAGUGGUCUGUCAGCAGCCCCAGGGGCUCUGCACUUGCUGGGGUGCAGCUGGUGCUCACUGGUUCUGGUUUUGGUCUCAGACAGGGGCUGGGCACAGCAGGCAGCAGUCCCUGCUGCAGCUGGGAGCUGGACUUAGAGCUCACAGACCCAAACCCUAAAUGUGGCUGUACUCCUUAUUUUGGAGUAAAUUAAAUUAACACCCCUCCCCAAAUCUUUAUUUCGGACUGAACCACGCCGCUCUGGCAGCAGUUACUUUUCUCUAGCAUUGCAUUGUCUUGCUGGAUGACUGUUCCUUACCCUCGGGGUUUUUUGGUGGCUUCAGUUAGGGCUGGAAACUCUGCUUUGCAUCCUCUGCUUUAAUCCGAGCCGAGGCAAUGGAACGGCGUGUUUGGAAUAAUUCUGUGUUUUCUCAGUAGAACACUGAGCCACAGCCUUAACCUUCCCAGCGGUUCAUGGCAGCUGCAGCUGAGUUAUUUGAUUAAAAUAUUAUUUUUACGCUCCUUGAAAGUGCUGCAGCAAUCUGAUUUAUCCCCAUUGUCAGUGUGUGUUUGUUUGGGCUCUCAGACAGAAUGAACUCGCCUUUCAUUUGGCACUAAUGCCAAGGGAACUAUUGUAUUCCAGAAUAAUGGAGCAUGAUCUGCAGCAAAACACUUCGCUCGUGCAGUUGCAUCUAAUACACAAUGGGGAUCAUUUGGUGGCUCAGGGUGUUCCUCUGCUUCCUCUGGCACUGGGAUUGCAGGUCCUGGAGCAGCCCCAGUUAGGCCCAGCCCUGGAGGAGGUCAGUGUGCAUUUCUGUUACGGAGCUCUCUGUUUUCUCCCUCCCAAAAGAUGAAGCAGCAAGGUUUUAUUUCAAGUAAGUUUCUUUUGCCCAGUCCUUAAUGGCUCAAAGUUUUAUUUUUUUUAUUAUUUAUAUAUAUAAUUUUUAUUAUAUAUAUUAUUUAUAUUAAUUAUAUAUAUAUAAUUUUUAUUAUAUACAUAUAAAUAAUAAAAAUUAUAUAUAUAAUCAAUAUAUAAAUAAUAAAAAUACAUAUAAUAAUAAUAUAUAAUAAUAUAUAUAAAUAUAAUAAUAUAUAAUAAUAAUUAUAUAUAUAUAUAUAAUUUUUAAAAAUUAAAAUUAUUUUAUUCCCUGAGGAAUAAUCUGAUGUAGUUUCUCUAAUCUUCCAAAGCAGAGGUGCUGCACACACCCUCCCCACUGUACAGCCGGAUUCCCCAUUGUCCUGCAGGACAAGGUGCAGCCUGUGCAAUAACCCAGCCCAAGGCAGCCUUGGUCAGUCCCAGUCCUGGUGUGAACCUUGGAGCACUGGGAGCUGGGCACUGCAAGGUGGCAGCGCUGGGGCAGGCAGGAUUGAUGGAGUUUUUAACGUGAUUGCAGGGGAAUUUGGACUUACCUUCAUCUAUUUUUAAAAGGAAAGAAAAAAAAAAA